This 255-nucleotide long non-coding RNA is filed under the name Carica papaya (papaya). RNAcentral describes it as "long non-coding RNA (CPAP_LNC001800)". The record is from RNAcentral. Lineage: Eukaryota; Viridiplantae; Streptophyta; Magnoliopsida; Brassicales; Caricaceae.
AUUAAGUGAUUAAUCAACUAAUGUUAAUUAUUUAUAUACAAAUCACCUUGAAAACAUAUUCACGCAUUAAUCAGAACCUCUAAUUACCUACUAGUCUGGUAAUUAUUUUAUAUUUAAGCGGUCGGGAUAAAGAUAAAUAAAGUGAAUUUAAUUUUAUGACGUCAUAAAUGGAAUAUUGAGAGAGCAUUUAAUUCGCACAGCAAUCUGUUUGUGGUGUGAGAAAUGGAUGAGUUGGAGGAACAGACAGAAAGCAAC